RNAcentral lists this ribosomal RNA (385 nucleotides) under Cochlicella acuta. RNAcentral describes it as "partial 16S ribosomal RNA". It matches the Rfam family "Bacterial large subunit ribosomal RNA", at positions 1947 to 2619 of the family's 2925-position model. Lineage: Eukaryota; Metazoa; Mollusca; Gastropoda; Stylommatophora; Geomitridae. The record is from RNAcentral.
UGUGCAAAGGUAGCAUAAUCAAUUGGCUUGUAAUUUAAGUCUGGUAUGAAUGUAGUUUUAGGCUAAAGCUGUCUCUUUAUAUUAAUUGGAAUUUACUUAGCCGGUGAAAAUGCCGGCAGUUAAAUAAUAGACGAGAAGACCCUAGAAAUUUUGUGAAAGGUACAAGUAGUAUGUAUUGGAUUUUGUUGGGGCGACAGAGUAACAAUUUAAACUUACUCUAUUUAAUGUGAAUUAGUUAUGGAAGUGUAAAUUACUCUAGGGAUAACAGCAUAAUUCUAUUAGUGUUUGUGACCUCGAUGUUGGACUAGGAAAGAUAAUAUUCAGAAGAUAUUAUUAUAGGCUCUGUUCGCGCCGAUAACUCCUACAUGAUCUGAGUUCAAAUCGA